CUGCGGACAGGUGGUUUCUGCAGCGCCUUUUGUCCAGCUGGCCGGGUUAGCCGGCAGGCUGCUCGGGACAGAGUCUGCCACUGAUCACACAGCGAAGCUGCCGCCUCAGUUACGGCCGUGCAGCAGUGAGCAGUCUCUUUUGAUGUACAUUCUGAAGAGCUUACACAACAGGACAGGGAUUUUUAGCACACUUCAGUUCUUUCCUGAAACAGCAGUGCUAAUGAGACUUGUCUUCCCAUGGAUUAUGUCUCAUGUUUCAUUGCAGAGCUCACCUGAACCCUUUUCCAUAGACAAGAUGCAACAAUUCCAAGCGAAGUCUGUCCUGAACUCCUCCGUGGCUGAGAGCUGGCAGGGGAUGCGCCAUACAGAAGGCUCUCUGAGCUGUCCUCCCCUUGACUCAGGAUUUGGUCUAUGACUGCUGAUAAGCCGCAACCGUAAUCAGAGAAGCCUGAUUAAGAUCACCAGUUUGGCAAGAAAUGAAAGACUUUACAUCUGGUAUUUGCAGAUAGAACCUGGCAGAGCUGGCUUCCUCAAGUCCAUACUGAAAGACAGUAGGUACUGUUGUUUAUUAUCCGCUUGUAUAGAGGUGAGUUUCAGGUGUGAGGUGGUAUUGGUGGACUAGUUUUACAGAGAUGAAUGUUUAUCAUUCAUCUCACAAGCUUGCCAACCUAAUCAAAGUUAAAUCUUCC
Molecule: long non-coding RNA, 689 nt
Filed under: Struthio camelus australis
Lineage: Eukaryota; Metazoa; Chordata; Aves; Struthioniformes; Struthionidae
Description: lncRNA (ENSSCUG00000006443.1)
Source: RNAcentral